UGCCGUAGUGGCGGAACUGGCAGACGCCCGGGACUUAAAAUCCCGUGGGUAGUGAUACCCGUACCGGUUCGAUUCCGGUCUGCGGCAGCC
Molecule: transfer RNA, 90 nt
Filed under: uncultured Ruminococcus sp.
Lineage: Bacteria; Bacillati; Bacillota; Clostridia; Eubacteriales; Oscillospiraceae
Description: tRNA-Leu(taa)
Rfam family: tRNA
About the family: Transfer RNA (tRNA) molecules are approximately 80 nucleotides in length.
Source: RNAcentral